This is a long non-coding RNA of Galleria mellonella (greater wax moth), 487 nucleotides long. RefSeq lists it as uncharacterized. NCBI's taxonomy places the organism in Eukaryota, Metazoa, Arthropoda, Insecta, Lepidoptera, Pyralidae. The record is from RefSeq and is a predicted model, not a curated record. The transcript is spliced from 3 exons.
GACUUUGAAUUUAAAAGCAGCGUACCAUAACAUUUCGAUAUACUUUAUAUAGAAAUCAAAGUAUUAUGCGUUUGUCGAUUAAUAUUGAAAUUUUCUACUUAUAUGCAUUGUAAAUUAAUAUAUUAAUAUAUAUCAAUAUACCUUUAUUGGAUGUAUUUGAAAUGCGUGUCUAACAAUUAAAUUGCGAAUCAUUAGAUCCUUCUGCAAUAAGGACGAACUUAUUCCGGAUGAAUCUAUUAAGCUGAGGGAAUAUUGGUCACUGCGGUUAAAUCGAUCAAGCAGAGCGGAGGCAGGGCCAAAUAAUUUAUUUAUGGAUAAAAAGUUACAUUAAAUUAUUUUUUUAUAUGCGCAUGGAAUUUAAAAAAUUAAACAGGUUUUCAUGACUUUUGUGAUUGAAUGGUCGUAUGACUGACUAAUUUAUGACUUUACAUGAUAAUGAAUGCAAGUCAAUGCAUAUGCACUAUAUUUCCUAGUCCCAACAAGUAAG